This 167-nucleotide small nuclear RNA is filed under the name Castor canadensis (American beaver). RNAcentral describes it as "U1 spliceosomal RNA (ENSCCNG00000023910.1)". It matches the Rfam family "U1 spliceosomal RNA". From Rfam's summary of the family: U1 is a small nuclear RNA (snRNA) component of the spliceosome (involved in pre-mRNA splicing). Its 5' end forms complementary base pairs with the 5' splice junction, thus defining the 5' donor site of an intron. The record is from Rfam by way of RNAcentral. Lineage: Eukaryota; Metazoa; Chordata; Mammalia; Rodentia; Castoridae.
AUACUUAUCUGGCAGGGGAGAUACCAUGAUCACAGAGAUGGUUUUCCCAGGGCGAGGCUUAUCCAUUGCACUCCAGAUGUGCUGAUGCCUGCGAUUUCCCCAAAUGUGAGAAACUCGACUGCAUAAUUUGUGGUAGUGGGGGACUGCUGCAUUCCCGCUCUCCCCUG